CACACAGCAGCUCUGAACCUUCUCAUUUUCAACAACAGAAACUAUGGUCUUCGCUGUGCUUUCAAGGCUCCUUCUUGGGAUUGUGUUGCUUUCUGAUAUUCAAAGUGUGUCGAAUGAAGAGGUGGACAUAAGCACCCUCGCCAGGAUUCGAGUACAUUUAAAUUUGAAAUACACUUAUGGAGGUGCUGUGCAAUAUGCCAUCAAUGUCCCGAAGGAGCAGUGUCGAAGAGGUUUCAUCCCAUCAUCAUUUAACUUUCUGACAAAAGACAUGUCAAGCGAUGUUAGGCCUUACUUUCAACAUGACAAUAAAGAAGUCUACCAAGGCACUGAACUCACGGCUACAGUGGUUCAUAGAGAUGCCCCUUAUGAGCAUUUACUGAUGAAUCCUCCAAAUAAAUCUCCUUUGACACACUUGCUGAAUAAAAGGAGUGAUGGAUGUGUGAUUUUCUACACUUAUCGGUUCUCUCCCUGUGUAGACGGAUGUCUUAACAGUAGUGUUAUGCUUGCAGGUCUUCAGGAAUUAGAGAAUUAUCAGGGAAUGAAAGCCUUUGUUUACACACAUACACAUAAAGAAGAUCAGAACUACCACAACCUACAUAAUAAACUGAAAAAGAUUGCUGAGCAUGUGCCACUUUACCAAUGUCGUGGACGUAGUUGUACGCCUUGUGGAAACCAUGUGAGAAGCAGAUGUUUAAGAUAGGUUCAUCCUGUUGAGUUUCUUCAGUGCUUUAACUGAUCUGUGCUUUGGCACUGGAGUUUCAGA
RNAcentral lists this long non-coding RNA (763 nucleotides) under Danio rerio (zebrafish). Its description in RNAcentral is "lncRNA si:dkey-96g2.2 (ENSDARG00000096898.2)". The record is from RNAcentral. Lineage: Eukaryota; Metazoa; Chordata; Actinopteri; Cypriniformes; Danionidae.